RNAcentral lists this transfer RNA (72 nucleotides) under Raiamas buchholzi. RNAcentral describes it as "tRNA-Thr". It matches the Rfam family "tRNA". From Rfam's summary of the family: Transfer RNA (tRNA) molecules are approximately 80 nucleotides in length. Their secondary structure includes four short double-helical elements and three loops (D, anti-codon, and T loops). Lineage: Eukaryota; Metazoa; Chordata; Actinopteri; Cypriniformes; Danionidae. The record is from RNAcentral.
GCCCUAGUAGCUUAGCCCAAAAGCGUCGGUUUUGUAAACCGAAGAUCGGAGGUUAGAUUCCCCCCUAGAGCC